AACGAACGCUGGCGGCAUGCCUAAUACAUGCAAGUCGAACGAGAUCUUCGGAUCUAGUGGCGCACGGGUGCGUAACGCGUGGGAAUCUGCCCUUGGGUUCGGAAUAACUUUUGGAAACGGAAGCUAAUACCGGAUGAUGACGUAUGUCCAAAGAUUUAUCGCCCAAGGAUGAGCCCGCGUAGGAUUAGGUAGUUGGUGAGGUAAAGGCUCACCAAGCCGACGAUCCUUAGCUGGUCUGAGAGGAUGAUCAGCCACACUGGGACUGAGACACGGCCCAGACUCCUACGGGAGGGAGCAGUAGGGAAUAUUGGACAAUGGGCGGAAGCCUGAUCCAGCAAUGCCGCGUGAGUGAUGAAGGCCUUAGGGUUGUAAAGCUCUUUUACCCGGGAUGAUAAUGACGGUACCGGGAGAAUAAGCUCCGGCUAACUCCGUG
Molecule: ribosomal RNA, 433 nt
Filed under: uncultured bacterium
Lineage: Bacteria
Description: partial 16S ribosomal RNA
Rfam family: Bacterial small subunit ribosomal RNA
Source: RNAcentral